GCGUGGAUGGUUUAGUGGUAUAAUUGCCGCCUGCCACGCGGCAGACCCGGGUUCGAUUCCCGGUUCACGCA
RNAcentral lists this transfer RNA (71 nucleotides) under Smittium simulii. It matches the Rfam family "tRNA". Rfam says of the family: Transfer RNA (tRNA) molecules are approximately 80 nucleotides in length. The record is from Rfam by way of RNAcentral. Lineage: Eukaryota; Fungi; Kickxellomycota; Harpellomycetes; Harpellales; Legeriomycetaceae.